Molecule: non-coding RNA, 200 nt
Organism: Camelina sativa (false flax)
Lineage: Eukaryota; Viridiplantae; Streptophyta; Magnoliopsida; Brassicales; Brassicaceae
Source: RefSeq, a predicted model, not a curated record
AGAUGAGGAAGAUUCUUGCUCUGUUGAUUCAUACGCUACGUCGGGUGCAAAGUCUGCUAAAUCAAGAAAUAUUGUCACGGCAGCUCCUUCGUUUCGAUCCACUGAGCGUGCCGAGAAGCGGAAGGAGUUCUAUACAAAACUGGAGGAGAAACACCAAGCCAUGGAGGCUGAGAAAACGCAAAGUGAAGCAAGGAACAAGG